This 473-nucleotide ribosomal RNA is filed under the name uncultured bacterium. RNAcentral describes it as "bacterial SSU rRNA". It matches the Rfam family "Bacterial small subunit ribosomal RNA", at positions 335 to 801 of the family's 1533-position model. The record is from RNAcentral.
ACUCCUACGGGAGGCAGCAGUAGGGAAUCUUCCACAAUGGGCGCAAGCCUGAUGGAGCAACACCGCGUGAGUGAAGAAGGGUUUCGGCUCGUAAAGCUCUGUUGUUAAAGAAGAACACGUAUGAGAGUAACUGUUCAUACGUUGACGAUAUUUAACCAGAAAGUCACGGCUAACUACGUGCCAGCAGCCGCGGUAAUACGUAGGUGGCAAGCGUUAUCCGGAUUUAUUGGGCGUAAAGAGAGUGCAGGCGGUUUUCUAAGUCUGAUGUGAAAGCCUUCGGCUUAACCGGAGAAGUGCAUCGGAAACUGGAUAACUUGAGUGCAGAAGAGGGUAGUGGAACUCCAUGUGUAGCGGUGGAAUGCGUAGAUAUAUGGAAGAACACCAGUGGCGAAGGCGGCUACCUGGUCUGCAACUGACGCUGAGACUCGAAAGCAUGGGUAGCGAACAGGAUUAGAUACCCUGGUAGGAUAGCC